RNAcentral lists this ribosomal RNA (497 nucleotides) under uncultured bacterium. RNAcentral's name for it is "partial 16S ribosomal RNA". It matches the Rfam family "Bacterial small subunit ribosomal RNA", at positions 28 to 507 of the family's 1533-position model. The record is from RNAcentral.
GAUGAACGCUGGCGGCGUGCCUAAUUCAUGCAAGUCGAGCGAACGGACGAGGAGCUUGCUCCUCUGACGUUAGCGGCGGACGGGUGAGUAACACGUGGAUAACCUACCUAUAAGACUGGGAUAACUUCGGGAAACCGGAGCUAAUACCGGAUCAUAUAUUGAACCGCAUGGUUCAAUAGUGAAAGACGGUUUUGCUGUCACUUAUAGAUGGAUCCGCGCCGCAUUAGCUCGUUGGUAAGGUAACGGCUUACCAAGGCCACGAUGCGUAGCCGACCUGAAAGGGUGAUCGGCCACACUGGGACUGAGACACGGUCCCGACUCCUACGCUGAGCAGCAGUAGGGAAUCGUCCGCCAUGGGCGAAGGAGUGACGGAGCAACGCCGCGUGAGUGAUGAAGGUCUUCGGAUCGUAAAACUCUGUUAGUAGGGAAGAGCAAAUGUGUAAGUAACUAUGCACGUCAUGACGGUACCUAAUCAGAAAGCCACGGCUAACUACGUG